CUGUAUAUGCAAGGCAUAAAGAAAUAUAUACAUAUAAAUGCUUUUAUACACGUCUGCUCAGGAUCCUUUAUCUACUGUGUAAACUCCAUUUUUCCAUGAAUAAAAGUUGGAAUAGUAGAUUACAGUUGCUUUCUCAUUGAAAUUUUUGCUGCUUCUUUUUCUUCCAUUGAUUUGGUUUCUUCACUACAACAAAUAAUACAAAGUGGAAUACAUAUAACAAAGUUUCAUUUUAUAUUUGCCAAUUAUCAAAGGAUCAGAUGACUUUGCAUUACUAACGCUUGAACCGUUGAUGAAUAAUUUAAAAGAAAAAGGAUAACAGAAGUUUGUUUUUCUUAGAAGAGGUUGGGCAUUCUUGACAAGUUAAUCAGAUGUGUUGAACAAAUAGCAAAAAACCAGUAUUAAUGAUAUAAGAAAUUAAGGAUUAACCCCAGGACAUAAUAUUCUUGUUAGCUAUUAGCAUAUCAUCCAUUUACCAUGCAUUACAAUGAGGAAUUUCACUGCUUCAAUACAAAUUUUAGCCAGCAUACAAUAUUAGAAGAAUGGGAAAAGUCCUAUUUCAUCUGUAUUCAAUUUUUUAUUAUUUUUUUCACACUGCCAAGAGGCAUGAACCAUUUUCGGCCUUCAAUAGACCAAAAGGUAAAUCAUGUUAAUUUUUACUCUGCUUUCGUCUAUUGAGUACCAUAUGUUUC
RNAcentral lists this long non-coding RNA (689 nucleotides) under Olea europaea subsp. europaea. Lineage: Eukaryota; Viridiplantae; Streptophyta; Magnoliopsida; Lamiales; Oleaceae. The record is from RNAcentral.